This 218-nucleotide long non-coding RNA is filed under the name Elaeis guineensis (African oil palm). RNAcentral describes it as "long non-coding RNA (EGUI_LNC031301)". The record is from RNAcentral. Lineage: Eukaryota; Viridiplantae; Streptophyta; Magnoliopsida; Arecales; Arecaceae.
UUGGGAUGCUAGCUCUCUUGUAGAGAUCGCUCCCUGAAUUUUUGAAUCGAUUUGACUUUUGAUUCUCUUCUCAAGAGAAUCAAAUAGAUCUAUAGGAGAAAUUUAAAAUCAGAUCAAAUCUGAUUUCUUUUCUACUUUUUUAUUCUCAAGAAAAAAUCAAAGAUCUAUUGAAAAAGAUAAGAGUUCAAAUCUUUUUCUUCUUCCUUUCUUGUCCAACC